UUUAGGUCACAUGUAGGAGUCAAACAGGGUUGUAACUUAAGUUCUACUUUAUUCAACCUAUUCAUUAAUGAUCUACCUGAUAUAUUUGACAGGUCAUGCACUCCAGUAAAAUUAAAUGAUACAAAUCUAAGCUGUUUGCUUUAUACGCAGACGACCUAGUCUUAUUAUCCGAAUCCAGGGCAGGAUUAUAAAAUUGCCUCACAAAACUUGUUUACUAUACCAAAAAGUGGAAGUUAAACAUUAAUCUUAAGAAAUCC
Non-coding RNA from Paramuricea clavata, 257 nucleotides. Lineage: Eukaryota; Metazoa; Cnidaria; Anthozoa; Malacalcyonacea; Plexauridae. The record is from the annotation of a GenBank genome assembly.